Chinchilla lanigera (long-tailed chinchilla) is the source of this 1758-nucleotide long non-coding RNA. RefSeq lists it as uncharacterized. NCBI's taxonomy places the organism in Eukaryota, Metazoa, Chordata, Mammalia, Rodentia, Chinchillidae. The transcript is spliced from 2 exons. The record is from RefSeq and is a predicted model, not a curated record.
UGACGUCGGCGCUGGCGGAUCGAGCUGCAGGCACGGAGAAAGAUGGCUUAGGCUCAAACUGCCACCACUCCAUGACUCACAGCGCCAGUUAGAGAAACACCCAUCAAGGAGGUGUGAUGGCCAUGGCAGACUUCAAUCUUUAGCAGAAGAUGCAGAUGAAACCAUCUCUCCAACUCAACACUUGGACCCAACCCACGUAAGUUUUCUGAACAAAAUAAGGAACAAAAAUGCAGGUGGGAGAUGAAUCUCCACAAAAUCAAAAUGUGUCAUUUGAACUGGCACAGUGGUGUAUGGUAUGCCUGGGAUCGCUGAGGAAGUAAGUGGUAGGGCACUGAGCUGGACGCCUUACUCCACCCUCAGUGGGUGUGGCAGAUCCUAAACACAAGACAAUGAAGGGCCUUUCUGGUUGGAAAGGGGGGGGGUGUGUGAAUUAAUAAACAGUGCUAGAAGUAUUUCAAUGUUUGUCUCUGCAUACACAGAAGUUAUACACAUUAUCUUACAUCCCCAGGAGUGUUGUCGGUGCCACUAUGUACGUAUAGUUAGGACACACAGGCAAAGUUACCUAUGGGCUUACUUGGGUGACACUGUGCACGUGUGUGUGUGUGUGUGUGUGUGUGUGAGUGUGAAGAUCCUAUUUGGGGAAAUGCACACUUACCUAAGGAUAUCUGGUCAACCCUGAGCUUAAAUGAAGAGGAGUUAGGUGGAGGCAACCAAGGUGGUAGAAGUGGCCCAAAUCCUUUGGAGCAUGGAGGACCAAGACGAAGGAGGGCAAAGUGAAAUAGGAGUUUGGCCAGUGUUCUGCUGGGACAUGUCACCCACCUAGGCCAGGGUCCGAGGCAAAGUGGGCUUCUGGGCUCCCGUCACAGCUUCAGCUUGGGUGGCAGCGGUGAGCCUGAGCAGGCCCUGCCCAGGACAGGCAGGGAUAAGCCAUGAGAGAGGCUCCAUGGCCACUGUCCUUAGUUCUCAUGCACAGGUUGUCUCGGGUAGGGCAGCGUGGGCCUAGCCUAGGCAACAGUUGGUUCACAAAGAAAUGUCAGGGAGACACCAGCAUUAAAAAAGAGAGAUGUGUUUAUUCCAUGAUCAGUACAGACCAAAUGCAUAUUCACCGUAUGAAAGUCAAACCAGUCAGUGACUCCAGAGUUUGGCCAACACUGAGGCACCAGCGUUGUGGUGUAGAGUGGGUUCUCAUGGCACACGUAACCUCACCAAGGGCUCCAAUUAUAAAAUUAAAAAAAAAAAAAAGUGUGGGAAGCAGCAGCCAGCUGGGACUGGGUGCUGGGUGGGGGGAGGGCCUCUGUUUCAGUCUUCAGCACCCCCAAUCAAUACCUGGGGUCUACCUGUCCCUAGGCAUUCCCUUUCUUGGUAAAAAACUUAACAGAUUUAACAUUAAAAAACAAAAGCCAACAAAUGGGCACUGAGGGAAAGGAAAAGAAGUUGUAGCUUUCUGGAUUUAUAAUUAAAAAUAGACUAAUGAAGUUGCAAUGUAAGUAUAAGUAGGGAUAUUUGUUUUGAUUUUUUUGUGGAUUAAAAAAAAAAAUCUCUUUUACACCAGUUUGGUGGAGUCACCAACAAAUUUUAAAGUUGCCAACUAUGUUCACUAUACAGUACAGCCACGGUCACACACUACCCACAGCGCGGUGGGAGCCGCCGCUCCAUGAGGAGACGAUCACACCUUUUCGGAAAUAAGCAGUGCCAUUGUGUCUGGAGGAGAAGAGAGAAUUAAAAAUAAAAUAGAAUUCAACAACAAAAUAUAUAUAU